Molecule: ribosomal RNA, 1299 nt
Filed under: uncultured archaeon
Lineage: Archaea
Description: bacterial SSU rRNA
Rfam family: Archaeal small subunit ribosomal RNA
Source: RNAcentral
UGGUAGUUCGCUUAUCACAUGCGAGUCCAGAGGUGCAAGACCUCGGCGGACGGCUCAGUAACUCGCGGAUAAUCUGCCCUCAGGUGGGGAAUACUCUCGGGAAACUGAGGCUAAUGCCCCAUAUAUCUGGGAUGCUGGAACGCUUCCAGGUCGAAAGCUCCGGCGCCUGAGGAUGGGUCUGCGGCCUAUCAGCUUGUAGGGGGUUUUACAGACCCCCUAUGCUUCCACGGGUACGGGCUAUGGGAGUAGUCGCCCGGAGAUGGAUUCUGAGACACGAAUCCUGGCCCUACGGGGCGCAGCAGUCGCGAAAACUCCGCAAUGUGGGAAACCACGACGGGAGAACUCCCAGUGCGUGCACUUUGUGUACGCUGUUCUCGUGCCUAACAAUCACGAGAAGUAAGGGCCGGGUAAGACGGGUGCCAGCCGCCGCGGUAAUACCCGCGUCCCGAGUGGUGCUCAUUAUUAUUGAGUCUAAAACGUCCGUAGCCGGUUUGCUAUAUUCCUGGCUAAAUCGAACCGCUCACUGGUUCGUAUUCCGGGGGAGACCGUCCGACUUGGGACCGGGAUGAUGCGACGAGGUACUCCUGCCGUCAGGCGGUAAUAUCCCUGUAAUUGCCUGGGAGGACCACCACUAGUAGAAGGCGUCGCUGCUAGAACGCAUCCGACGGUCAGCGACGAAGCCCAGAGGCGCAAACGGGACUCAGAUACCUCCGGUAGUCCUGGGUGUAAACGCUGCAGGCUUGCUGUCGGGGGUCCUACGGGGGCGCCCGGUGCCGGAGCGAAGGUGUUAAGCCUGCUACUUGGGGAGUACGGUCGCAAGACUGAAACCUAAAGGAAUUGGCGGAGGAGCACCGCAACGGGAGGAGCAUGCGGUUCAAUUGGAUUCAACGCCGGAAAACUCACCGGGGGCGACCCUUACAUGAAGGCCAGGCUGAUGACCUUGCCUGAUUUUGGGAGAGGUGGUGCAUGGCCGUCGUCAGUUCGUACCGUAAGGCGUUCUGUCAAGUCAGAUAACGAACGAGACCCUCCCCCUUAGUUGCAAGUUCGUCCUCCGGGACGGGCGCACACUAGGGGGACCGCUGGCGUUAAGCCAGAGGAAGGGGAGGUCAACGGUAGGUCCGUAUGCCCCGAAUCCCCCGGGCUACACGCGCGCUACAAAGGUUGGGACAAUGGGUUCCCACCCCGAGAGGGGGAGGCAAUCCCGAAACCCAAUCGUAGUUCGGACUGAGGGCUGUAACUCGCCCUCACGAAGAUGGAUUCCGUCGUAAUCGCGUGUCAACAUCACGCGGUGAAUAUGCC